CUAAGCUCUCGCAAUAUUCUGAAUUGUGCUGAAUUAAAGAAUGGAGCUGAGUUAAUGAUGCAUUUAAUACAUGCAAACGAAUCAUCAAAUAAUUAAUGAGCUGAGAAAAAGCUUUAUCGUCGCACCAACAUAUUGACGUAAUAUUCAUUUUCGUUUUAUCGGGUGCGAUUUGUAAAUGGAGAGAAGUGAUCCGCAUUUGCUAAGUCAACUAUUAUACCAAUGCAACUGUAGACAAAAGAAACUAAAACGUGCAAGAUUAAAAAAAAG
Molecule: long non-coding RNA, 267 nt
Organism: Rhagoletis pomonella (apple maggot)
Lineage: Eukaryota; Metazoa; Arthropoda; Insecta; Diptera; Tephritidae
Exons: 3
Source: RefSeq, a predicted model, not a curated record